AGAAGGAGAAUUAUGAUGACAUGGCAUUUAUGGCCAAUCGUAACUGACUACAAGGGGCUGGAACUAAGGUCACAUUCUGCUUAGUGUAAGGGAGAAGAGUGGUGAAAGAAUAGAAAGAAUGUAUCUGUAUUGUCCUGGCAAUCAGGCUGAUCUUCAGUAUGUCUCCUUACUGCUCAAAAAUGACUGAUUGUUUUCUCGUUGUCAAUGUGAAGCCAAUGGGAGAUGGGAACAGAGGAAAAAAUUGUGCCCUUUUCUUCAUGCUGCAGUCCCUGCUUCCAGCAGAGCUUUUAAAGUCACGUCGUACAGAAUCAACUUGAAUGAAACAAACCAUCUCCCUGCUAAAUACUAACUACUUCAUUUGAGAAUCAUCAUGAGAAUAAAACCCUGCAUAAGUAUUCUUGACA
RNAcentral lists this long non-coding RNA (404 nucleotides) under Pogona vitticeps (central bearded dragon). RNAcentral describes it as "lncRNA (ENSPVIG00000011612.1)". Lineage: Eukaryota; Metazoa; Chordata; Lepidosauria; Squamata; Agamidae. The record is from RNAcentral.